CCUACGGGAGGCAGCAGUGGGGGAUAUUGCACAAUGGGGGGAACCCUGAUGCAGCGACGCCGCGUGGGUGAAGGAGUGCUUCGGCAUGUAAAGCCCUAUCGGCAGGGAAGAAGCAAGACGGUACCUGACUAAGAAGCCCCGGCUAACUACGUGCCAGCAGCCGUGGUAAUACGUAGGGGGCGAGCGUUAUCCGGAUUCACUGGGUGUAAAGGGAGCGUAGACGGCCAAGCAAGCCAGGGGUGAAAGCCCGGGGCCCAACCCCGGGACUGCCCUUGGAACUGCAUGGCUGGAGUGCGGGAGGGGCAGGCGGAAUUCCUGGUGUAGCGGUGAAAUGCGUAGAUAUCAGGAGGAACACCGGUGGCGAAGGCGGCCUGCUGGACUGUGACUGACGUUGAGGCCCGAAGGCGUGGGGAGCAAACAGGAUUAGAUACCCCUGUAGUC
RNAcentral lists this ribosomal RNA (441 nucleotides) under uncultured bacterium. Its description in RNAcentral is "partial 16S ribosomal RNA". It matches the Rfam family "Bacterial small subunit ribosomal RNA", at positions 338 to 795 of the family's 1533-position model. The record is from RNAcentral.